AGUGAAAUGGUGUAUUUGUAUUUUUCUGUUAUUUGUGUUGUCUACUACUCUUUAAUGUGAAUGCGAUUCAUUACAUGGUGAUUUUUAUCAUUUUUUUUUUUCGUAGAAUUCUUCAUUUCUAGAGUUAGAGUAUGGGUUCUUCUAAAAAACACAAGGAAAAAAAAGAACGGAAAAAGCAUAAGAGAGGACGUUCUCGUUCUCGUGAAAGGGAUACACAUAAGAAAAGCCACAAGUCUAGCCAUAGGAAAGAAAAACGUCGUAGCCCUGAAAAUUUAUGUCCUGAACUCGAAUCUCAGGCUUCGAAUGAGAGAAAACGUUAUUUUUCAGGGGAUGAAGAACAUUCUCAUCGGGACUAUAUGCACACUGAGAAAAUUGAAGAGGAAAGAAGUCGAAAUGCAUCCCCUGAUGAUGAAUUUGAUAUUGAUAAACUGCUAGAUUCAAAACUUUUGGAAAAUUCAGAAUUCGCUACAAUUUCGAAGCGCUCAUCAAAGAAACGCCGUCGUGAUAUAGAUAUUGGGGAACUGAAAAAACGUUUGAAAAUAAGUAAUGAAAAUGAAGACUCUUUGGAAAAAUUUGCUAACGAACAGUUUAUGGAAGAACAUGGGUUAGUAGCAGGAAGUGCGGAAAAGCAUAUUCGAUCUCCUCAAUAUGAUUCCUUAUCUCGAGAUAAAUCGGAAAAAAUUCCUUUCAUUAGUGACACAAAAAUUAAAGAAGAACCUCCUGACGAAGACAAUGUUGAUCCAGCAUAUGAAGAACACACUGAACCUCAAUUAUCUUUAAGCAUUGCAGAAACAAACAAGUUACGUGCAAAACUAGGUUUAAAGCCAUUGGAUGUAGGAAAUGAGAUUCCAGGUCUGGAUCAGGACAAUGCCGAUAAGGAAAUUAGUAAGCCUGCAGAAGUUUUUGUUAAAACUGAAAACAUCAGUGAAGUUAAGAAAUCAGAAGCUCUCCGGGAAAAACUAAAAGUCGUAAAAGAGAAGAGACUGAUAGAAGAAAAACUAAGAAAAACAAAAGGGGUCGCUGAUUCUGAUUCUGAGGAGGAAUCAGCAGCUGCCUGGGUUAUUAAACAUCAGAAGAUGUUGCAAGAAAAAGAAAGAGCUGAAAAGAGAGCUAAAAUGUUAGAAGAAAUGGAUGAAGAAUUUGGAAUUGGUGCUUUAGUAGAAGAAGAAUUUGAUAAGAAGAAGGCAUAUACAUCUCAAGAUUUGGAAGGACUAACUAUAGGUCAUGAUGCCGAUGCUUUUAAAGAAGGUCAUCAAGUCAUCUUAACACUAAAAGAUAAAGGUGUUCUUGAAGAGGAUGAAGAUGUUUUAGAGAAUGUGAAUAUUGUUGACAGUGAGCGAUAUGCUAAAAAUGUCGAAAAUAAGAAGAAGAAACCAGAUUAUAGGCCAUAUGAAGAGCCUGAAUAUGAUGAAUUUGGAAUUCUGAAGAAAAAGAAUUUGCUUUCUAAAUAUGAUGAAGAAAUAGAAGGGGAGAAAAAGAAGGCUUUCAAAAUUGGUACGGUUAAUAGUACACCAUAUAUUAGCAAAGAACAGGAAUUGGAACUAAUAAGGAUGAAAUUAAAGCAACAACAUGAGGUAUCUUUAGAGAUGCCAGAAAUGAAAAAAGCCAAUGAAUAUUACACAACUGAAGAAUUGGUGCAGUUCAAAAAGCCAAAGAAGAAGAAAAAACUGCGCAAGCCCUCCAUAUUGAAAGCAGACGAUCUUCUAGGAGAUGUGAUGGAUGAUGGAGAAAGUGAUUUGGGUUCAAGGAAAAUGAGAAGACAAAGGAUUUCUGAACCAGAAGAGACAGUUCAAGAAACAAGAACUGAAAUACCAUUCCUUGAAGAAGAAAAAAUGGAUGAUGCUUCAGAUGUAGUUAUAGAUGAAGAUUUAGCUGAAAAAGAGUUGAGCAAUGCCUUGAAUAAAGCUAGAAAACUUAAGGAAAGAAAGGUUAUGUCAACUGCACCUGAAAAGGUUAUUGAAAUUCUUAAGAGUGUUAAUGGAAGUGGCAUGGAUUCACAUGAAGAUUCUAAAAUUGGAAAUAUUGAAUUAAAUUCAGUAGCUGAAUUUUGUAGAACACUUGGUGAAAUUCCUACAUAUGGCAUGUCUGGUAACAGAGAUGAAGAAGCAGAUGAAAUGAUGGACCUAGAACGGGAACUUAUGGAAGAACGACAGAAACAAGAAUUAGAAGCUCAAAAUCGUGGUGCGUGGAAUGAAGUAGAUCUUGAUGAAAAACCAGCUGAAAUAUCAGUAAGGGAAAAUGAGCCAAUUUUAGAAGAAGAACCCGAUAUAAGCUUAGGUGUGGCUGGAGCCCUGAAACUUGCAAUGAAAAAAAGGUUAUUUAGACAAAGAAACCAAAAAAGUUAGCAGUGCACCUAGAACUAGUCAGUUGCAAGCUCAGUCAUACACUAUUGAAGAAAAAUUUUAUGAAGAUGAUAAGUUUGGCAAGAGAGAUAGGUAUACUGGGCCAGUGCAAGAAUUUCGUGAGAAAACAAAUUACAAACCAGAUGUCAAACUUGAGUAUAUAGAUGACAGUGGACGCUUGUUAACUGCAAAAGAAGCUUUUC
RNAcentral lists this unclassified non-coding RNA (2545 nucleotides) under Stegodyphus dumicola. Lineage: Eukaryota; Metazoa; Arthropoda; Arachnida; Araneae; Eresidae. The record is from RNAcentral.